This 257-nucleotide ribosomal RNA is filed under the name Caldifermentibacillus hisashii. Its description in RNAcentral is "Bacillus hisashii partial 23S ribosomal RNA". It matches the Rfam family "Bacterial large subunit ribosomal RNA", at positions 2671 to 2925 of the family's 2925-position model. The record is from RNAcentral. Lineage: Bacteria; Bacillati; Bacillota; Bacilli; Caryophanales; Bacillaceae.
GCUGUCCUUAGUACGAGAGGACCGGGAUGGACGCACCGCUGGUGUACCAGUUGUCUUGCCAAAGGCAUCGCUGGGUAGCUAUGUGCGGAAGGGAUAAGUGCUGAAAGCAUCUAAGCAUGAAGCCCCCCUCGAGAUGAAAUUUCCCAUUCCUUUAUGGAAGUAAGAACCCUUGAAGAUGACAAGGUUGAUAGGUCCGAGGUGGAAGCACGGUGACGUGUGGAGCUGACGGAUACUAAUCGUUCGAGGACUUAACCUAU